This 232-nucleotide unclassified non-coding RNA is filed under the name Hevea brasiliensis (rubber tree). Lineage: Eukaryota; Viridiplantae; Streptophyta; Magnoliopsida; Malpighiales; Euphorbiaceae. The record is from RNAcentral.
UGACUAAGCACUCUGUGGUUGAGCUUCUUGUUCAUAGUGGUGGAUGCUUGCAGUCUAUCCUGCCUCCACCACUUGUGGAGUAUCAAAAGCUGAGAUGCAGGGUUGCUUUUCAUGCCUUACGGUUCAGAGAGGAGGUCCAAAAUCUCGCUAUUAAAAUCUUGAAUAGAAUAAAAGCUUCAGGACAACCAUUUAUUGCCUAUGAUCCGGGGAUGACCAGAGACGCUUUAGCAUA